CAGUCGCCACGGUAAUACGGAGGGGGCUAGCGUUGUUCGGAAUUACUGGGCGUAAGGCGCACGUAGGCGGCUUGGUAAGUUAGAGGUGAAAGCCCGGAGCUCAACUCCGGAAUUGCCUUUAAGACUGCCGAGCUAGUAGGUGAGAGAGGUAAGUUGAAUUCCGAGUGUAGAGGUGAAAUUCGUAGAUAUUCGGAAGAACACCAGUGGCGAAGGCGGCUUACUGGCUCAUUCUAGACGCUGAGGUGCGAAAGCGUGGGGAGCAAACAGGAUUAGAUACCCCCGUAGUCCCUGUCUCUUAUAC
RNAcentral lists this ribosomal RNA (301 nucleotides) under uncultured bacterium. RNAcentral's name for it is "partial 16S ribosomal RNA". It matches the Rfam family "Bacterial small subunit ribosomal RNA", at positions 509 to 807 of the family's 1533-position model. The record is from RNAcentral.